GGCACGUGUGGUCUAGCGGUAGGGCACAGGAUUCAUGAUCGUGAGGUUGUGGGUUCGAGCCCCGCCGUGGCCA
Molecule: transfer RNA, 73 nt
Filed under: Patiria miniata (bat star)
Lineage: Eukaryota; Metazoa; Echinodermata; Asteroidea; Valvatida; Asterinidae
Description: tRNA-Met
Rfam family: tRNA
About the family: Transfer RNA (tRNA) molecules are approximately 80 nucleotides in length. Their secondary structure includes four short double-helical elements and three loops (D, anti-codon, and T loops). Further hydrogen bonds mediate the characteristic L-shaped molecular structure. tRNAs have two regions of fundamental functional importance: the anti-codon, which is responsible for specific mRNA codon recognition, and the 3' end, to which the tRNAs corresponding amino acid is attached (by aminoacyl-tRNA synthetases). tRNAs cope with the degeneracy of the genetic code in two manners: having more than one tRNA (with a specific anti-codon) for a particular amino acid; and 'wobble' base-pairing, i.e. permitting non-standard base-pairing at the 3rd anti-codon position.
Source: RNAcentral